GCCCCUGUCGUCUAGCCUGGUCUAGGACAUCGCCCUUUCAAGGCGGCAGCACGGGUUCGAAUCCCGUCGGGGGCG
Molecule: transfer RNA, 75 nt
Filed under: Candidatus Aminicenantota bacterium
Lineage: Bacteria; Candidatus Aminicenantota
Description: Candidatus Aminicenantes bacterium tRNA-Glu
Rfam family: tRNA
About the family: Transfer RNA (tRNA) molecules are approximately 80 nucleotides in length.
Source: RNAcentral